RNAcentral lists this ribosomal RNA (433 nucleotides) under uncultured bacterium. RNAcentral describes it as "partial 16S ribosomal RNA". It matches the Rfam family "Bacterial small subunit ribosomal RNA", at positions 29 to 507 of the family's 1533-position model. The record is from RNAcentral.
AGCGAACGCUGGCGGCAGGCUUAACACAUGCAAGUCGAGCGGGCCUUUCGGGGUCAGCGGCGGACGGGUGAGUAACGCGUGGGAACGUGCCCUCUGGUUCGGAAUAACUCAGAGAAACUUGAGCUAAUACCGGGUACGCCCUUUUGGGGAAAGGCUUGCUGCCGGAGGAUCGGCCCGCGUCUGAUUAGCUAGUUGGUGAGGUAACGGCUCACCAAGGCGACGAUCAGUAGCUGGUCUGAGAGGAUGAUCAGCCACACUGGGACUGAGACACGGCCCAGACUCCUACGGGAGGCAGCAGUGGGGAAUAUUGGACAAUGGGCGCAAGCCUGAUCCAGCCAUGCCGCGUGAGUGAUGAAGGCCUUAGGGUUGUAAAGCUCUUUUAUCCGGGACGAUAAUGACGGUACCGGAGGAAUAAGCCCCGGCUAACUUCGUG